This is a transfer RNA of Camelus ferus (Wild Bactrian camel), 72 nucleotides long. It matches the Rfam family "tRNA". Rfam says of the family: Transfer RNA (tRNA) molecules are approximately 80 nucleotides in length. The record is from Rfam. NCBI's taxonomy places the organism in Eukaryota, Metazoa, Chordata, Mammalia, Artiodactyla, Camelidae.
GGGGGUAUAGCCCAGUGGUAGAGUGCGUGCUUGGUAUGCAUGAGGUCCUGGGUUCAAUCCCCAGUACCUCCA